Molecule: non-coding RNA, 93 nt
Organism: Mycena albidolilacea
Lineage: Eukaryota; Fungi; Basidiomycota; Agaricomycetes; Agaricales; Mycenaceae
Source: the annotation of a GenBank genome assembly
GCCUCUGUGGACUGUGGGAGUCACCUCAAGCCCGUGAGCCGAUUUCUAAUGUCCAGUAUUGAGGAGAUGGGGGUUCGAUUCCCCCCAGAGGCA